This 482-nucleotide ribosomal RNA is filed under the name uncultured bacterium. RNAcentral's name for it is "partial 16S ribosomal RNA". It matches the Rfam family "Bacterial small subunit ribosomal RNA", at positions 28 to 523 of the family's 1533-position model. The record is from RNAcentral.
GACGAACGCUGGCGGCGUGCUUAACACAUGCAAGUCGAACGAUGAAGCCCAGCUUGCUGGGUGGAUUAGUGGCGAACGGGUGAGUAACACGUGGGCAACCUGCCCCAAACUCUGGGAUAACUCCUCGAAAGAGGUGCUAAUACCGGAUACGAACUAGACAAACAUCUGUACUAGUUGGAAAGUUUUUCGGUUUGGGAUGGGCCCGCUGCCUAUCAGCUUGUUGGUGAGGUAGCGGCUCACCAAGGCUACGACGGGUAACCGGCCUGAGAGGGCGACCGGUCACACUGGGACUGAGACACGGCCCAGACUCCUACGGGAGGCAGCAGUGGGGAAUAUUGCGCAAUGGGCGAAAGCCUGACGCAGCGACGCCGCGUGAGGGAUGAAGGUCUUCGGAUCGUAAACCUCUUUCAGUAGGGACGAAGCGAAAGUGACGGUACCUAAAGAAGAAGCACCGGCUAACUACGUGCCAGCCGCCGCCGUAA